CCGGGUGGACCGCCGAAUCCUGCCGCCGUCCGGAAACCGCACCCACACUUCACGUACGGCAGGAGCGGGGGAACCAGGUAAGUCGCCGAACCGGAAUCCGGAACGGCUCGGGGUUAAGUCGCAUUCACCUGCGGCCGGGCAUCUCCAGCCCGAACCCGACAGCUCACCUCGCAGGCGACGGAGAGGAAUU
RNAcentral lists this small RNA (190 nucleotides) under Streptomyces pristinaespiralis. RNAcentral's name for it is "c-di-AMP sequence". It matches the Rfam family "c-di-AMP riboswitch aptamer (ydaO/yuaA leader)". Rfam says of the family: This family represents a conserved RNA structure found upstream of the ydaO and yuaA genes in Bacillus subtilis and related genes in other bacteria. The ydaO/yuaA element is thought to act as a genetic "off" switch for the ydaO and yuaA genes in its native state. Lineage: Bacteria; Bacillati; Actinomycetota; Actinomycetes; Kitasatosporales; Streptomycetaceae. The record is from RNAcentral.